Molecule: ribosomal RNA, 495 nt
Filed under: uncultured bacterium
Lineage: Bacteria
Description: partial 16S ribosomal RNA
Rfam family: Bacterial small subunit ribosomal RNA
Source: RNAcentral
GAUGAACGCUGGCGGCGUGCCUAAUACAUGCAAGUAGAACGCUGAAGGAGGAGCUUGCUCUUCUGGAUGAGUUGCGAACGGGUGAGUAACGCGUAGGUAACCUGCCUGGUAGCGGGGGAUAACUAUUGGAAACGAUAGCUAAUACCGCAUGACAACAGUUAUUGCAUGAUAACUGUUUAAAAGGGGCAACUGCUCCACUACCAGAUGGACCUGCGUUGUAUUAGCUAGUUGGUGAGGUAACGGCUCACCAAGGCGACGAUACAUAGCCGACCUGAGAGGGGGAUCGGCCACACUGGGACUGGGACACGGCCCAGACUCCUACGGGAGGCAGCAGUAGGGAAUCUUCGGCAAUGGACGGAAGUCUGACCGAGCAACGCCGCGGGAGUGAAGAAGGUUUUCGGAUCGUAAAGCUCUGUUGUAAGAGAAGAACGAGUGUGAGAGUGGAAAGUUCACACUGUGACGGUAUCUUACCAGAAAGGGACGGCUAACUACGUG